AUUGAACGCUGGCGGCAGGCCUAACACAUGCAAGUCGAGCGGAUGAAGGGAGCUUGCUCCUGGCUUCAGCGGCGGACGGGUGAGUAAUGCCUAGGAAUCUGCCUGGUAGUGGGGGAUAACGUCCGGAAACGGGCGCUAAUACCGCAUCCGUCCUGAGGGAGAAAGUGGGGGAUCUUCGGACCUCACGCUAUCAGAUGAGCCUAGGUCGGAUUAGCUAGUUGGUGGGGUAAAGGCCUACCAAGGCGACGAUCCGUAACUGGUCUGAGAGGAUGAUCAGUCACACUGGAACUGAGACACGGUCCAGACUCCUACGGGAGGCAGCAGUGGGGAAUAUUGGACAAUGGGCGAAAGCCUGAUCCAGCCAUGCCGCGUGUGUGAAGAAGGUCUUCGGAUUGUAAAGCACUUUAAGUUGGGAGGAAGGGCAGUAAGUUAAUACCUUGCUGUUUUGACGUUACCAACAGAAUAAGCACCGGCUAACUUCGUG
This 484-nucleotide ribosomal RNA is filed under the name uncultured bacterium. RNAcentral describes it as "partial 16S ribosomal RNA". It matches the Rfam family "Bacterial small subunit ribosomal RNA", at positions 30 to 507 of the family's 1533-position model. The record is from RNAcentral.